This is a long non-coding RNA of Pseudopipra pipra, 4008 nucleotides long. RefSeq lists it as uncharacterized. The transcript is spliced from 2 exons. The record is from RefSeq and is a predicted model, not a curated record. Lineage: Eukaryota; Metazoa; Chordata; Aves; Passeriformes; Pipridae.
CCCUCAGGCAGCAAAGCAAUAUAGCUCAGCUAAAGCAGGGGUUUGGGGAGGGUAGUCAAUUUGAUUAACAUCACUGUCAAUAUGAUGGAUGGAAAUCCUCUCAAAUGAGUCGCCCAAUACCUCGAAAUCAUCGCUGGAAUAUUCCUUUCAUUAGGACACAAGUGAUAAAUUCACUUUAGAACCAGGUUGGCCUGCCCCAGGUUUCCCUUAACAAGGGAAAUACAGAGGCUUUGUCUCCAACACUUUGAAAUCCACGUCUCAAACCUUUUGAUUUCCCUGUCUGACGCACGAGUCUUGAUAUUCCUGUCUCAGAUUUGCCAAAACACUUCGCCUCUGUUUCCACCAAACUGCUUUUCAUGGCUGGAGGGGGCUCAGAGCCCCAGAAUCUCCUGUUCUGCCUCUCAAUUCAGCAGCAUUUACUUGCAUUAUGAGGAGGAACAAAACAAUCACCAGUGGUGGUUUUUCCUCCAAGUGAGGCACGUUCCAAAUGAGGUCUUGGGGCACUUUGGCAAACCAGCCUCAAAAAGGAGGAGGGAUUACAGGUCAGGUUCAGCACAGAAACUCCCAGAAGCUUUAGACACUCAUUGAAGGGUUCAACCACUGCCUCUUUGAAAGAGCAGAGACAGAGAGACUGAGAAAAGAGAAAGUAGGUGUGUGUGGUGAAAGGUGGCAGUUCUUGCACUUUCCCAGAGUAAUGCUGUAUUACUUUCAGUGAGACACUGCAUAUAAUUAACCACCAAGAAAAGAGACCUUCCUCCCCUUUUUUUUCGCCCUCUUUUGUCUUUUUAAUUAAAUUAUCUCCCGUUCUCAGUGAUGCUGCCAUUAUUCCACACAAUGUGUGUUCAUUAGAAAUGCACUUACACUUAUCAUAUCUUGAUUUAUCAGCUCUUCCCCUCAUUUCCACGCUCUGGAUUAACAGGCCCUGGGACAGAACACACUGAGGGAGUUCAGAGGAGCCUGGGAGAGGCUCCAGCCUCAACAACCCCACACGGAGCCCUUCACAGAGCCCACACAUGAGUGUACUACAACCAUUGUCUGAAGUCCCAGGCACCCUUUUUUUGGGUGUCUGGAGCCUUUUCUGUGGAGCAGCUUAAUUCUGUGAGUGAUUCAACCCUCUGGCUGGGUGGGCUGAUGGGACUCUGCAGUGGGAAACACAAGUCCCUUUGGAAUUCCCAGCAGGCCACUGACACAGGCAGGGAAAUAAGAACUUCUCGUUCCAGAACGAGCAAAAAGAAGCUCCUGGAAGGCAAUAAGUGUCUCCCCAAAAUCCAGGCAAAUUUAAAGCUGGGAAGCAGAACUUCCUUGGUGCAGGGCAGGAUGGAAUUUUCCCUUUCAGAGUUUUACCUGCAAGACGUUUUUUCCACCUUAAGGUGGAAAACACACCUGGGAUAAAAGAACCACAACAGAAUCUUCUAACGCCAGCAGAACUCCCAGAGGGGAGUUCAGACAACCCAAGGACUCACCCUGCUCCCUCUCAAGCCCUCUUUGGCCUUGCUGGGGGUGAAUCCCUGCAGCAGGAACGUGCCCCUGGGCAGAGGCAUUGGCAGGGAGGGCGUCUGGCAGGUCCAGCCUCGCCCGGGCUCGGCUCUCCAGGCACAGCCAGGUUUCCAUGGAGAGCAGGCAAGAGGAUUCCAGCUCCUGGGAGCAGAACUGGCAGGAUUCUGGGAGGUGAUGAGCAGCUGGGUGAGCAGUGGGUGUGAUGUGGAGCUGGCAGGGUCCCUCCAAAGCUCCAAAGUGUCCCAGGCUCCCCCCACCCUGUGCUGUGCAGAGCAGGGAAGAACAUCCUCAGGCAUCCGCAGCCUCCAGCCACUCUGCAGCGACAGGAUUUGUUGGAGGGCAGAACUGACAGGCAGGGAACAACAAUCUCUUAUUGGUAUGGGCUCCCUGAGCAGUGAUGGAAGGCAGGGUGAGUGCCUGUGACAGGCAGGGGCUGCGGGAGGUGUCGGAGGCUCCACGGAGCAAGCCAGGCUACAAAUGAAGAGCCACGGACAUGGCACAGCAGAUAAAGAUGUAAGUAGGUCAAGCAUCACUUUCUCGGGAUGGGAGUGACAUUUUGGCCUUACACAAAACAGGAGUCAUCUGUUAUUAUUUGGUUUGAGCCCAUUAAACAGGCUGGCUGCCACCAGCACAGCCAUUUGUAUUAAAAUCACCCUGAUGAUUCCUCAGCGCUGUGCUUGCUCUACAAGGUUAUUAAUUAUGCACCCAAUUUGACAAAGAUAAUAACACUCACCUGGCUGCAAGGGGGAAGGGGAGGCUGGAGGGUUACUGAGCUGCUUCUGCUGGGGAGAUCACACACACUGGGGCUGUUUGUCUUGAACAGAUGAGCAAGGAGCACAUAAACACACCCGUGGCAGUGAACAGCUCUGCAAAGCCUGCACUGCUGGUUCCCUGCACAGGCUGCAGCACAGGGGGCUGAGGAGCCAAGAAGAAAUGCAAUGAGCAGGUGGAAUCAGUGCCUGGGUGUUAAACACUGAGUGAAGGGGAUGGUGCCUGUGCAGCCAACUGCAAGCACUGCAGCCUUAAACAAACCCACAGCGCUCCACAAGUGGCUGCAAAGCCACUUCCCCACCUAACCCUGGCCCCCCCAGGUGCCAAAAUUCAGAAUUCAGCCAUGUCUAAACCACACCAAGGGUUAUUAUUUCUUUAUCUCUAGGCCCAGAACCUCUUUGUAGAGACGCUUUAAUUCGUUUGCAGUCCAAAGGAUGUAUCACUUGGGGUAUUGAUUUAUUUCUAAACAGAUGUAACAACUUUCUAGGCAGAGAUGCUGAAAUGAGUAGGAUAAAUCAAUUGAGAAUAUUUUUUCUGCAUGUCAUAAACCUGUUUUGCAUUCCAUAGAGGCCCAGGGUGGUUUUGUCCAAUGGAUUAUUCUUUUCAUUAGUGUCCCAUCAAAGCCAGACCAACCAGAUGACUGUUUCCCCCUCCACCCACCCCAAGAAAGUUAAAUGCUUAAAAUAACUACUGAUAGAAUUGGUAAUUCAGAGCCUAUUGUUUUUGAUAAUUAGCAUAUUAAAGGAAGUCAGCUAGAGCAAAAUAUCCAUUUAUUAACAGUAAUGAACCUUGCCUCUCUCUUAAAUACUUCAGGAUUAAAGACUCCCAAGGCAAAGGGAAUCUGCAGACAAGAGCAGUUCAUGGGGCCUGGGGUUCCUCCCCAAAAUGAUUUCCCAAACCACUGGAAAGGCCCAGCAUGAAGAAGUUUCUUCACUGGCCACACUCCUCCCAGGCAUUGUUGCUUUAAUCCAGCCCCUCUUGAUUCAAGUCCUACCCAUUUAAUCCAUGGAUAUGUUUUCCAAACAAGGUGAGGGUUUUUUUAUGCUGAAUACAUAUGGCACACCCACAGCUGAGCCUCCUCCCUGCCAGAGCCACAACCAGCAGGUUUUGGAGAUCAGAUGAAUCCCAGACCUCUCCCUUCCCAGGAUUCCUUUUGCUCUGCCUCGUGUGCAUCAGGAAUGGUGCUCCUGUUGCUAAUGGAAAUCACUGCUGGAAGAACUGGCACCGGGACAAUAAAUCUUUUAUCACUGCAAGCUUAAAUGGGGACUGAAAUCAUUCACGAAGCAGUUUUAUUUAAAAGUUGAUUAUUCAAUUGAAGUCGAUUUCAGUGACCUCAUUGGAGCCUGAAAAGAUUUACAGGGGAGCUGAGCACAGUCACAGGGGCCUUGAUGACUUCAUAGAGCUGCAGACAUCAAUUGUCUGUGACUCACAGAACUUCUCCCAAAUCCCUCUGCUCCCUCGCUCUGAACCAGACCUCAAACCCCAUCUCAGACAUGCAGGAUUGCUGGAGAUACCAGCAAAAGAUAAAUGCAGGGUACCAGGACUCUUGGAGAGAGAAAAAAGAGAAUGAAUUAAUGGAUUCAGCCAAUCUCGUGCCCAGAGGAAUCCAAGAGGUCCCUCCAAAUUCCACUGUGGGAGCUGUGAGACAGGAGUCACCUGAGGAGCCAAACCACUGCUGGGAGGGGGAGGAACACCUCAGUUAUGCCCCUUGGAUACAGUAAAAAUAGCAAACCCAGUUCA